CUGACCUGAGAUCAGACAAGGCUACCCGCUGAACUUAGAUUUACUAUUAAGCCAA
This 55-nucleotide ribosomal RNA is filed under the name Monostroma grevillei. Its description in RNAcentral is "partial 28S ribosomal RNA". The record is from RNAcentral. Lineage: Eukaryota; Viridiplantae; Chlorophyta; Ulvophyceae; Ulvales; Monostromataceae.